CUAAUGUUCUCUCUUUUCAGGUGGUGUAGAAGUCAUAGAUCUCACAGGUGACUCUUCUGAGCCUGAAGUCAUCACUAUCAGUGAUGAUGAGUCUCCUGGGGACAGGCAGCAGAGCCAGCAGCAGCCACAUCUUUCCAGAGCAUCAGAGAAUUCAGCUGAGCCACUGGCAAGGAAUGAUGAAGAUGAUGAAGAGGAACCAGGAGAUAGUGGCUCAUGGUCAGCACGUCCUGCUAGUCCUCUACGAGGGAGGGUGACAACUCACAGGUGCAGGACAAGGAGCAGAGCCAGCAGCACCCACAUGGCUCCAGUGACACAGAGAAUUCAGCAGAGCUAUGGGCGAGUAACCACGAAGAGGAACCAAGAGAUAACGAUGAUUCUAUUAACUCUGAUGAAUGGCCAGAUCGUUUUGAGAGUCCUCCGACAUGGCAGGAUGACAUUACAGAUCUUCUUGAAGUGCAUGGACAGGAAAGAAGAAAUGUUACACUGAGCAGCCAGGAAGAGGUGGAUGGCUCUGGUAAUGGAACAGGAGCUAAUGAUGCACCUGUGGCUGACUCAGCCCCUGCAGAACAGGGAGCAGAGGAGGAGGACACUCAAAGUUCAGAGUAUGUAUGCCUCAUGCCCCACCACACACAGAAUUCUGUGCCUUUCUUUCUUUUCUGUGUAGGACUUAGUAAUACUGCUAUGCCUGAUUUAUCUUUGACAGCUUCCCUACUCUACAUAUUUCCCUCCUUCUCCCACGUUGCAGGAUGAUCACAUGAUACCAUUUGAAUUUUGGGAGAUAAAAGCAGCCCAAAGCAGAUGUACAUCUUUGCAUAGAGCCUUAGAGACGAGUGUGGGAGUAUGGCAAGGAAUGGGGAUUUGUCGCAGGCCAUAGCUCAGUAUUGCAUUUGCUUUUUCUGACAAGCUGUAGUAGUGAUAUUAGAUAUGGAAAUGCUUCCAUUGUAAUUACUGGGGCUUGGCAUCACGGGGCCAACAGGAACAGCUGGGCAAAUUCCAACAAAAAUUCCCUGCUGGAACGGUGCCAGCUGGUUGCCUUUCUCCUGGAGCUGGAGCCCUUCUUCCCAAGGUAGACUUGUACACAGGCAGCUGUGGAGUUCAUGCUUUUAUGGCCAGUGCUGGAUGUCACAAGCCCUGAUUUGCUUGCUUCUGUGAUGGAAAUCUUGCAGUUCAAGUUGGGUGCCUGCGCAGUAAAAUUCCCAUUCUGCAGAGGAACAGGAAAGUGCUGCUGUAGGAGCACUCCAUCAGGAUAAGAAAGAUACAGUUCAUUGGACUGAUUAAUUUUAACCAAGUGUCUUUGUCACUAGGGAUGACAAAGAACAUAAGAAUUAUGGUAUAAGGUUUUCAAAGUGUUUUUUUGGGGUGGGGGGAAAGACACAGGUUUUAAUAAAGCUGGUGUGCUUUGAGCCUUUUGGAAAGGCAAUGUAGGAGACAACUUGAGUAUGGAACUUUUAGGUGUCAGGCCUUAAAUAUGCCGCCUAAAGGGCUUCUACAAUUCUAAACCAUAAUGCAGCCCUUCCCAGGGCUGGAUCUUGCCAGAACUGUGUUACUCUGUAGUUGAAAGUUGGGUCCUGGAAUGAAUAUUCUGGUGUGAAUAAUUCCCAGAGGACAGCUGAUGCUGUAGUUACAAAGCUGUUACUGAUGACCUACUGGAAGUCAAAGUUGCCAUACACAAACUGGCCAGUGCUAAAGACUGCUGCUACUUCAAAGCCCAGAGCAGGGUGACUGACUGCACCUUUCUCCUAGUGAAAACCAGGACACCCUUUCCCUCAGGGCAGGGGAGACCCCAAAUCCUCAUUAAAUGCAGCAAAGAGAGACUUCAAGACAGCAGGGUUCUUCAAAGGAAAUGUGUCAUGGCUAGUCAGUGCAGUUGUAUGAAUAGGUGAGAUUUUAUACAUCAAUAAGUACUGAAGUGUGGUUAUAUGAACAGCUGCAUGUUCUUUCUAGUUCUGUUUCCUCUAGUGCGCAGCAAGGAGCUGUUAUUAGGUGUCCGCUUUGCAUGGAAUUUUACUCAGAGAUGAUGCAACAUGGACAACAGCUUGUGGCAACCCUAUGUGGCCAUGUCUUCUGCAGUAGAUGCCUCCCUAUUGCCCUUGGGGUUGCUCACAUAUGCCCAACCUGCAGGGUGAAACUCAAUGCAGCAGUAUAUUUUCCCAUUUAUUUAUGAGUGCUUCUCAGGACAGACUGAGAUGGAUCUUGGCCAAUAGGCAGUGUAGAGACUUGUUUCUUUAUUUAUAUAGUUCUUCCUGUGUAACUUUCAUUUUUGCUGGAUUCAAUUAUAAAUAAAGUUUGGAUUGAUUUAAA
This is a non-coding RNA of Taeniopygia guttata (zebra finch), 2301 nucleotides long. NCBI's taxonomy places the organism in Eukaryota, Metazoa, Chordata, Aves, Passeriformes, Estrildidae. The record is from RefSeq and is a predicted model, not a curated record.